This 454-nucleotide ribosomal RNA is filed under the name uncultured Anoxybacillus sp. Its description in RNAcentral is "bacterial SSU rRNA". It matches the Rfam family "Bacterial small subunit ribosomal RNA", at positions 925 to 1382 of the family's 1533-position model. Lineage: Bacteria; Bacillati; Bacillota; Bacilli; Caryophanales; Anoxybacillaceae. The record is from RNAcentral.
ACAAGCAGUGGAGUAUGUGGUUUAAUUCGAAGCAACGCGAAGAACCUUACCAGGGCUUGACAUCCCUUGAAGCAGCUAGAGAUAGCUGUGUCCUUCGGGACAAGGAGACAGGUGGUGCAUGGUUGUCGUCAGCUCGUGUCGUGAGAUGUUGGGUUAAGUCCCGCAACGAGCGCAACCCUCGACCUUAGUUGCCAGCAUUCAGUUGGGCACUCUAAGGUGACUGCCGGCUAAAAGUCGGAGGAAGGUGGGGAUGACGUCAAAUCAUCAUGCCCCUUAUGACCUGGGCUACACACGUGCUACAAUGGGCGGUACAAAGGGUCGCGAACCCGCGAGGGGGAGCCAAUCCCAAAAAGCCGCUCUCAGUUCGGAUUGCAGGCUGCAACUCGCCUGCAUGAAGCCGGAAUCGCUAGUAAUCGCGGAUCAGCAUGCCGCGGUGAAUACGUUCCCGGGCCUU